RNAcentral lists this ribosomal RNA (443 nucleotides) under uncultured bacterium. RNAcentral's name for it is "partial 16S ribosomal RNA". It matches the Rfam family "Bacterial small subunit ribosomal RNA", at positions 338 to 795 of the family's 1533-position model. The record is from RNAcentral.
CCUACGGGAGGCAGCAGUGGGGAAUAUUGGGCAAUGGGCGCAAGCCUGACCCAGCAACGCCGCGUGAAGGAAGAAGGCUUUCGGGUUGUAAACUUCUUUUCUCAGGGACGAAGCAAGUGACGGUACCUGAGGAAUAAGCCACGGCUAACUACGUGCCAGCAGCCGCGGUAAUACGUAGGUGGCAAGCGUUAUCCGGAUUUACUGGGUGUAAAGGGCGUGUAGGCGGGAAAGCAAGUCAGAUGUGAAAACCAUGGGCUCAACCUGUGGCCUGCAUUUGAAACUGUUUUUCUUGAGUACUGGAGAGGCAGACGGAAUUUCUAGUGUAGCGGUGAAAUGCGUAGAGAUUAGGAGGAACACCAGUGGCGAAGGCGGUCUGCUGGACAGCAACUGACGCUGAGGCGCGAAAGCGUGGGGAGCAAACAGGAUUAGAUACCCGGGUAGUC